CAUAUACUCCCUCCGUCCGUAAUUACUUGUCAUCAAAAUGGAUGAAAAUGGAUGUAUCUACAACUAAAAUACAUCUAGAUACAUCCAUUUCAAUGACAAGUAUUUCCGGACGGAGGGAGUAUAUA
Molecule: non-coding RNA, 125 nt
Organism: Triticum aestivum (bread wheat)
Lineage: Eukaryota; Viridiplantae; Streptophyta; Magnoliopsida; Poales; Poaceae
Source: Rfam